This 422-nucleotide ribosomal RNA is filed under the name uncultured Hymenobacter sp. Its description in RNAcentral is "bacterial SSU rRNA". It matches the Rfam family "Bacterial small subunit ribosomal RNA", at positions 355 to 774 of the family's 1533-position model. Lineage: Bacteria; Pseudomonadati; Bacteroidota; Cytophagia; Cytophagales; Hymenobacteraceae. The record is from RNAcentral.
UAGGGAAUAUUGGGCAAUGGACGAGAGUCUGACCCAGCCAUGCCGCGUGCAGGAUGAAGGCUUUCUGAGUCGUAAACUGCUUUUAUCAGGGAAGAAAAAAGGGCGUGCGCGCUCUACUGACGGUACCUGAUGAAUAAGCACCGGCUAACUCCGUGCCAGCAGCCGCGGUAAUACGGAGGGUGCAAGCGUUGUCCGGAUUUAUUGGGUUUAAAGGGUGCGUAGGCGGUUUUUUAAGUCCGGGGUGAAAGCCCACUGCUCAACAGUGGAACUGCCCUGGAAACUGGAGGACUUGAGUACAGACGAGGGUGGCGGAAUGGAUACUGUAGCGGUGAAAUGCAUAGAUAGUAUCCAGAACACCGAUUGCGAAGGCAGCUGCCUAGACUGUAACUGACGCUGAGGCACGAAAGCGUGGGGAGCGAACA